CACUUCGGUGGCCUAGUGAUUAGAGUGUCCGCCUCGGAUGCGGGAGGUUGUCGGUUCGUUCCCCAGCUGAGUCA
Molecule: non-coding RNA, 74 nt
Organism: Potamilus streckersoni
Lineage: Eukaryota; Metazoa; Mollusca; Bivalvia; Unionida; Unionidae
Source: the annotation of a GenBank genome assembly